Long non-coding RNA from Physella acuta, 1064 nucleotides. RefSeq lists it as uncharacterized. The record is from RefSeq and is a predicted model, not a curated record. Lineage: Eukaryota; Metazoa; Mollusca; Gastropoda; Physidae.
UAUUUAGUAGGCCUUGUACCCUGGUUAUUAGAUCUAGAGUUUAGAUUUAGUAAUAGAAUCUAGGCUUAAUGUUCAAUAUAUAUUGACCUAAAGUAGUUAUAGAUUUAAUGGCUAGUUUUAGAUUCAAUUUUAUUUAAAAUUUUGAUUAUGUAUAAAAAUGUAAACUAUAAUUAUAAGAGAAAAUUCUGAGUAGAAAUAUUGUGUGUACAUCUAUUUUUCAGAUUACCUGAAUUAAAUCAGUGCAUAUAGACCUCUAGAAAGAAGCCUACAAAAGUUCCAGGAAAUACAAGAUGAAGAGUAUAAGUUGCCAUUAUGAAGGGAUAAUGUAGUCAGCACUAUGCCCAGCCAUUUUUUUGCUUUCCCCAAUGUCAAGUACCCAUCAGAGCUGAGUGUUCUCAGGUAAAUGGAACUUCAUGAAAAUUGAAGAAAAAUUAAUAACAAGUAAAUGAACAUUGUGUUAUGGGUUGCUGCAAUCACCACUUUAAUGGAAUUUUUCAAGGACAUUUUAAAUGUAGUAAAGAAAUAGGGAUGCCACUACAAAUCUGGUGAUGUCUUUUAUAUCUACACAAAGGAAUCAGUUACUAGCUUGUGCAAGCAUGAAAAAAAACAUGUAUAAUGUAAAUGUAACUUUACAUUUGAACAAAGCUAUGAAAGUAACAUUUCUUCAUGUGAAUGUCCCGGAGGAGCUAACAGGUGUUCACAGACUGCUGUACAGUUUUGCCUUGUUUAUUCACCAAGAAACCCCAUUUACAACUUAUGAUAAUGCUGUUUAGGAUCUGCUUUUGGUUUCUCAACGCCAGAAAUACAAGAUGAAGAGUAUAAGUUGCCAUUAUUUUAAGAUAUUUUUUUUUAGAAUAUACUGAUUUUGAGAUAAUUUUGAUUUUGAUGAAAUUGAUUGUUUAAAAAAAAAUCAAUGUCUAAAAUAAAGUCCAAAUAAAUAAAAUAUAUUAGAUAACAUUAGGCCAAUGAAACAAAACCCUCAUAUUUGCCAUAAUUAUUUAUAUCAAACAACAUAAUUAAAAUACUAAUGUAUGUAAAAUUAGUUAAUUGCAUACAAUUUUCUU